This 12997-nucleotide long non-coding RNA is filed under the name Solanum lycopersicum (tomato). RNAcentral's name for it is "long non-coding RNA (SLYC_LNC001338)". The record is from RNAcentral. Lineage: Eukaryota; Viridiplantae; Streptophyta; Magnoliopsida; Solanales; Solanaceae.
UCGACAUAAUGAUGUUAAUCGAAAGUUGGGGAAAUGUAAUUGAGUUUCAUCUUCUGAUAAAUAUGCUGCAAGGAGUUUAAGCAAAAAGAAGUUUUGCUUGUUUACAUCUAUUUUGAACUCAGACGGACUGAUGGAUUUGGAUUUGGCUUUACGGAUGGAUCAGUUAGGUGUUAUGUUAGCUCAUUAGAAGAUAAUUAAAUUGCAUAAAAUUCGAUCUGUAUUUCAUUUCAUUACUACAAUAUUUUGUAUCAACUCUGAAGCUUUCAAAAGGUAUUGAAGUCGUUUGUUUAAGCUUCAAUCUAUUCUUAAGAUUGUACACACAAUUGUAUUAGCAAGUUACAAACAAAUGUUUAGUAUCUUCUCAAGUUGAAAUGCUGGUUUUGCAUUGAUGAGACUUGUUCACAUUCGAUAGAAUCUGAUACUUCAGCUGAAUACAGAUUGUUUUAUUGAAAAAUUGAUUUUCGAAAAGAGUUCGUUUUAUUUUGAAGUAUUUUCGACUUUUAGGAGUCGCCACUUAAUUUUUUAAGAAAAAUCAAGAAAACUUAUUUCCAAAACAACUUAAACAGAAAAAUUUGUUUUGAAAAUAUUUUAGGAGGGUUCAGAUUCCUAUUAGCGUCUCAGGAAGGUGUUUAAAGCACCUAAGACGCUCCGCUAACUACGAUUUUCCGACGAUUAACUUAUUUGACUAUUUUGUUUUAAAGACUUGCAAAUUUUGAACUUCUUAAGAUAUCUAGGCAAACUUUAUAAGUUUCGAAAUAUUUACUUUGCAAAAUCAUUUUUUAAGGCUAAAACACUUUAUAUUCAAACAAACUUGUAGAAUAUUAGCUUCAAGAUUUCGCUAAAGUUGAACUUUUUUAAACUUUUACUCUAAGCAAUUUUCCAAACUUAAACAUCUAUCUUUCUUAACACUUAAAUUUAAUUUUAAUCUUGAUAAAAGUAGAGAGGCAUUUCGACGGGGAUUUGAAGUUUUCUAAUCCUAACUCUAACGAUACUUUAAACAAACGCACAUAAGCAAGUAAUAAGGAGAGAGAGAGAGAUUUUGGGUCCAACUUCGGUUCUGUUCGCCUUGACCGAAUGUUGGACCCACCUGCUUUUUGGGCUUCGACCCAUUUCUCUUUCGUACCUGUCCUAGUCUAAACAUGCAAAAUAAAUUUCAAGGAAAUAAGACAACAAGGGCUUAUGCCCAUUACAAAAUGAAAUACAAAAAUAUAAAAAUAAAGUAAAACGUCUUCUAAUCCUCUUCUUCGAAUUUCUUCAAUCUUCAAGGGAUUUCAAUUUCGAGGAGCUGUCCACCGGAUUUUAUGACUUUGACUCGGCAAGAAGAAAUCGAGCCUUUUAUGGUCUUUCUUAAAGAUGCCAAAGGGGAGAGUCCAUUGGACUCGUUCGGAGAGAGAGUUAUGCAAAGAAGAAGAAAGAAAUAGAAAUAAGUGAUUUAACAAGAAAGGUCCAACAUUAGUUUAAUACAUAAAUAAACUCAAACAAUACACAAAUAAUGCAAGUCGAGUAUGUUAAACAAUGGAGGAAACCAACAGAAUCGGAGAAAGAUUAAUUUCCAAAUCUAAUCAAAAGCUUCAUAUUCAAACUAAUAAAUAACACCACCACAAGUUCAACCACGUACUUAAAACAAGAAGAAGAUCAUAAUAGAAACAUAUUCAAGAGAAAAGGGCUCCAAAGCUCACAGUGAUUUAACCUACACACUACGUAUAACAACAACUAAACAGAGGCUUCCUAAUGCAUCGACUAUCAGGUAAAUUCCUACUUGAACCCAACAGUUGACUAAGCCAAACGGAGUUCAAACAGAUUCACCAAACUGUAGGAAUAAACGAGUUUAAACUCAACUAGGCUCAUGUCGAGAUGAAGAAUAACCUUAAACGCAACGUGACCAACAAAAUCGAAUUAAAAAGAAAAAGAAAAAUAAGCAUGGUCUCGACCUCUUUAGCAAAUGCCAUCUAGACCGAAAUAAAGCACAGAGAUACAUUUUGAAAAGUCUAAAACAUGGAACCGAUGAAGACCCACAGCAUUCGCAAGUAACAACAACGACUUAUCAUAUCUCAUCUAAUAUUGCGACAAAACGCGACUUAACAGAUGAUAACUUAAAUAAACUUGACUUGAGGGGAAACGAAGGGAUAGCAAUAGACGAGCAGCCGAACAAUAAGACGAAACACGAAAACGCAAUGGAGAAACAGCAACAACGAGAUUUUCCAUUCUUUCUCCUCCUCUUUUUUUUUCUUUAUAGCAGCAAAAGAACAAGCCAACGAAUAGAGAAGACCAACAACGAAUAUCAUUUAUCACGUGACAUCGAAACCAGACGCAACUUAGACAACAACAAUUAGCUACUUAACGUGAGAAAGAAACAAAAAAAACUAAGAUGAAAAUAGAAGAGCAGCAAUCAAAGCAUGGCAACACAUAUAAAUGAGCCAGACUAUUAUUACAUGAAAAACAACAGACGCAGCCAACAAGAAGAUUUUAAAAUAAUAAAGAAACGGGGGAUGUACCUUCCUCGGAGCAGCAGAACGGGGACAAUACGAGCAGGGGAUGGGGACGACUACCACCGUGCGAGCACGAACACCAGUCCAACGCAAGCUAGCUUAGAAAACUUCCUCCUCUCCUUUCUAAGAACACGAGACAAGUCUUCCUCUGUAGACACCUCUGUGAUAAGAAAAUCUAAACAAGGUUUCUAAUCCCCCCUGUUCAUCCAAAAGGUCUAACCCCUCAGAAUUUCAAACCUCUGAAAUUUGAACUCUAAAUCGUCAAACUACGACAAAACCGAAAAGCAACAGAAUACUCUCGAAUUUUAUCUCAACCUUUUUGUGAUGGUACCCCCAAAAAAUUCCCAGAAAAAUCGUUCCCCCCCCAAGUUUCUAACACUUUGUCUUAAAAAUCUAUUUCCGAAAAUCCAACAAAAAUCGCCAACCCCUUUUUGAAGAGAGGUGGGGGUUUAUAUAGGUGAAGCUAGGGUUUCGAGGGAGCGGGUAAGACGAUUUCCGCCCAUUUUGAAUUUGUAAUUCAAAAUUCCGCAUCUGAAGGAAUAUGCCACUUUGAUGCCAAGAUUCCCAAUGGAAUCGAGUUGAGGUGGAGGGACGAGAUUAUUCCAUCGUCCCUUUGCCCUUGCGUGGCUCGAAUCCGCAUCGCAAGGACGGAUUCGUGUCGUUUUGCACUGCAAGUCGUACGAAAAAGGGAGACGUCGCAGAGGCUGCAGAGGUCCGUUGGAUUAUUUCGUUCCUCCACGCGCUAAAGAGAGAGGGAGAUAGGUGGGGGAGAGUAUCUCGCGUGAGAGACGCGGGAGAGAGGGCGUGGGGGCAACGUGGUUUCUGUUGGGGUCGCGUGGGGGAGGGUUUGGCGUUUCUGGGUUCUGUUUGCUGUUCUGGCAGGAAAAAACGUGAGGAAAGGGGGAAGAAAAGGGAGGCUGGGUCGGGUCAGGGGGACGGGUCAAAAGGCGGGUUAUGGGUUUAAGUUUAGUGGGUUGGGUUGGAAGUUUGGGCCUAGGUGUUGGGCUGUCUAGGUUGGGUUGUUGGGUAAUUAAAAAAUUGAAAGAGGGAGAAGUGGGAGAAUUGGGGGACGUUUGGGCCUGAAGGGAACUUGGGCCUGGCUUGGAAGAGGAGGGGUGUGGGCUGAUGGGGGGAAAUUGGGUUGGUUUCGAAUAUACACAAGAUAUACCGGCUAUAUACACCACUAUGUAAACGUUAACAAGUUAUAUUUUUUGCAAAAUUAUAAAACUAAUUAAUUUAAAUUAUUUGGAGAACUCAUGAAGCUCGCUAAUUGAAUUACGCCGACGUGGGUCAAAAUUGGGUGUCAACAACUGUCCCUCAUUUUACUUGGGUUGGUGCAAGCAACUCGAGGAAAAUGAAAUUGACCGAACCAAUUUUGACCAACUCCAUUUUUUUUAAAGGAUUUGACAAAGGGUUUAGGAAUUAUGGCCGAACCCUCAAAACGGGUUUCCUACAUAUCUCAGGCUAUAUGAGAAUUCAGGCCACUUGUAGUUCGAUAAGCUUGAUUUAUCGCACGAUUUUGAAGGAAUCAAAAGCUACCUCUAUACCGAAUUAUGAAGGUAUCGAAAUGCUUGAGAAUAGGAUUCGAGAGCGAAUAUUAGAAUACAGCCGAGUCUUCAACAUUGAAUCCGCCUACUUAUCCCUAAACCUUCGGAAUCAGACUGUGUGUAGUUCAACUCGAUUGGUGGAAAAAGAAAUCUAUUAUGCUAGAUAACCUUUGGUUCUGGACAAGGGACAAAUUAACGAGUAUGAAAAGGAGGCUUGUAACCUCUUAGCCAUGAAUGUGGCGCGCUUCACACCCACAAUUAAGAACUUACACGGACAUAAUUUCCAAAACUCUUGGCGUAUUGUCACUCAGAUUGGAAACUUGCCUCCGAUAAAUCGAAACUUUCGGAUGCGAGACUGAGACUGACAGAACUAAAGAAAGACCUACAUGCCUCGAGAGGGGUGGUUCGAUCGUGGUGGAAGUCUCUCCUCUGCUCUCGUCCUAAGAGUGUGAUAUUCCUCUUUGGACUGUGUCCCAGUUCGCUGCUAAGAAAAGUUACACGUUGUGCUGCAUCCUUUUUGAUGUCGUUCGCACCUGUGGUUUUUGGAGAAUUCAUCCUUUUCGGAUGCUCUCGACAAAGACUGAGAUAAAACUUGUCAGCUUAGAAAUGCAAUUAGGAUAGAAGACAGUGUCUUUUUACCGUGUCGACACUUCAUUGUUUUCCUCCAAUCGACGUCGACUCGAUCGGUCCGGCGUCCAGCAAAUAAAGCUUAUGCCUUGUGUUUUGCAAUAUAACCUUCAACGCGGUCUAUACUUGAUGUCGAAAUAAAUAAAUAAAUGUUGAUGCGAUGUUGAUGUCUCUUUUGUCGUUAUCUUCAAUGCUCUUCUUGAUGUUUAUUUUUCUUUUUCUUUUUUUUUUCAAAAAUAAAGGAUGCAGUUGAGGCCGAUGGAUAAAUAUUGCUCUUGGGAUACACGAUUUUCCUUUCUUUAUCCAUGUAUGUCCUCUUGCGGGGCAUGCAAAUCUUCCCGCGAUACGUACAUUCCUGCGAGGUAUGAAAUCCUCUCGCUAUGCAUAACUUUCAGCGAGGCAUGAAAUCUUCUCGCGAUGUGAAAAUUUUAAUGCGGCAUGGAUUCUUCUCGUGAUGCAUAAAUUUCGGCGAGGUAUAAAGCCUUCUCGCGAUAUAUAAAUUUGACGAGGCAUGAAAUCUUCUCGUCGUGCAUAAAUUCAAGCGAGGUAUAAAGUCUUCUCGCGAUAUAUAAAUUUGACGAGGCAUGAAAUCUUCUCGUCGUGCAUAAAUUCAAGCGAGGUAUAAAGUCUUCUCGCGAUGUAUAAAUUUGACGAGGCAUGAAGUCUUCUCGUCGUGCAUAAAUUCAAACGAGGUAUAAAGUCUUCUCGCGAUAUAUAAAUUUGACGAGGCAUGAAAUCUUCUCGUCGUGCAUAAAUUCAAGCGAGGUAUAAAGUCUUCUCGCGAUGUGCAAAUUUUGACGAGACAUGAAUUCUUCUCGUCGUGCAUAAUUGUUGAUUUGCAACGCAUGAUUUUCGCAAUGCAUGACUUUUCCGCGAUGCAUGAUUUUCGCAAUGCAUGACUUUUCCGCAAUGCAUGAUUUUCGUGAUGCAUGAUUUUCGCGAUGCAUGUUUUUUGCGAUGCAUGUUUUUCAGCAAUGGAUGAUUUUCUCGAUGCAUGAUUUGUGCGAUGCAUGAUUUUUGCGCCAUGCAUGAUUUUCGCGAUGUAUGUUUUUCCGCAAUGCAUGAUUUCCGCGAUGCAUGAUUUUCCGCAAUGCAUGAUUUGUGCGAUGCAUGAUUUUUGCGCCAUGCAUGAUUUUCCGCGAUGCAUGAUUUUUCGCAAUGCAUGAUUUUUAACGAGGCCUGGAUGUCUCGAUAAUGUUCCAACUGUAACGAGGUGGAUGACUCGAUAAUGUUCCAACUGUAACGAGGUGGAUGGCUCGAUAAUGUUCCAACUGUGACGAGGUGGAUGGCUCGAUAAUGUUCCAACUGUAACGAGAUGGACGGCUCGAUAAUGUUCCACUGUAAUGAGGUGGAUGUCUCGAUAAGGUUCCAACUGUAACGAGGUGGACGGCUCGAUAAUGUUCCACUGUAACGAGGUGGAUGGCUCGAAAAUGUUCCACUGUAACGAGGUGGAUGGCUCGAUAAUGUUCCACUGUAACGAGGUGGAUGUCUCGAUAAUGUUCCAACUGUAACGAGGUGGAGGGCUCGAUAAUGUUCCACUGUAACGAGGUGGAUGUCUCGAAAAUGUUCCACUGUAACGAGGUGGAUGACUCGAUAAUGUUCCAACUGUAACGAGGUGGAUGGCUCGAUAAUAUUCCUGCAAGAUAAAAAGAAACUUGUUUAGAAAAUCACUUGAGGCAAUAUAAAGGAAUAGAGAUAAAAUAAGGUGGAAGAUUUUCUAGGUUUUGUUGAGGAGUCCACGAUGGGUGCAAGUGACGCCUUUUGUCAUUCUUGACAGCUUUACAUAGCCAUUUUUGUGACUUCAAUGUUCCUGCAUCCAAAGAAAAAUUCUUAGUUUGAAAGACUGAUUUGUGUUGGUUUGUCUCCAUGCUCCUUCUUGCAGUUGACUUGCACGCUCGCCCAUUCUUUAUAUGACAUAUUUGAUGGAAUUUUGAGGACCCUCCUCAAAAAUUUGUCCCGGUCUAAAAUUUAUAAGAACUCUUAUAAUUUGCUCUGUUAACUCUGAGGUUGCUCAUUCUGGAAUUUUGAGGCCCCUCCUCAAAAUUUGUCCCAGUUUAUCUCAAUAAGUAACAAAUGAUAUUUGUGGAAUUUUUGAGAUCAUCUCAAAAAUUCUGUCCCAGUUGCAAGCUAGAUUGUCGUAAUUUUUGAGAUCCACCCAAGGCUAAUCUCUGUAGAAUUUUGGUCUUCUUUUUUGACUUUGAUAAAGAAGUCCAACUUCCAAUGAAUUUUUGAGAUCCUCUCAAAAAUUCUGUCCCAGUUUCCAUUAUGGAGAGAAAUAAAAAUCUUCUGGGUAUAUGACCGAGCCGUUGUGGCGCCUACGUAUCCCGUUGAAUCAUGAAUCAGGUCAAAUGUAGUUCCAACCGUAGAAAUAAUAAAGGGGGUAAAUGGGGUGACCGAAGCCGACAUAGGCCGCCUACGUAUCUCGUUUCUCGAAAAUUCAGGUCAGACGUAGUUCAAGAAAAGUGCGAUAUAUUUUCAAAAGAAAGGUAACAAAACUUCAUAUGUAAAAUUUGGCCAAUGUUGGGCAUUCUUCUUCUCGAUCUUUGAUGAUGAAUAUCUUUAAACGACUUAAUUCAAAAAUGUCUUGUACUCACUCUCGAGUAUCCAAUAUGUCAUCCAUUCAUGUGGUUUCCUCAAUAUUGAUCAAAUUGUUGUUGAUCAUGUUUUAUACCUUGUGCUUCAGAGUUGAACAAUUCUCUGUGUCAUGUCCAACGGCUCCUGAAUGAUAAGCACAUCUGUGGUCAGCUCUGUAAAAUUUUCCCAAAGGAUUGGCUGGUCUUCCUUCUAUAGGAUAGAGCAUACCCAUUGCUUUCAACCUUUCGUAAAGUUGAGUUUGAGACUCCUUUAAUGGGGUAAAUACCUUAGGGGCCUUCCUGAAUUUUAGGCGAGGAAAUUUUUCCUGACUGACAUUAUGGUUUUGAUAUUUCCGUUGAGAAGCUGACCUCGUAUGAGUAGCCGUGAUCAUGCUUACCUCCUCCACUUUUCCUUUUGAUUUAUCCAUAUCACUGAUUCUAGCAGAUUUUCCAUUAGAUCGCAAUGCGGUAAGUCUGAUGAGCUUUCCAGUCUUGAAACCAUCUUCCAAAGCUUCUCCCACUUUGACAAUCUCGACAAACUUUUGUUCCAUCAUACACAACAUUCUUUCAUAGUACUCGGGCUCUUGAGUACGAAUGAACAUUUCGGUGAUCUCACGCUCGGACAUUGGAGGUUGAACUCUCGCAGCCUCUUUUCUCCAACGAAAAGCGUACUCUCGAUAAUUUUCUGUAGACUUCUGUUUGAUCUUCUCCAAGUAGUAGCGAUCUGGGGCAUCUUCUAUGUUAUGCCCAAAUCUUUCCGUGAAAUCCUUUGCGAGUGCAUUCCAACUUUUCCAUUGUUUCAGCUCCUGUGAUGUAAGCCACUCCAGUGCUUCUCCACUUAAACUUCGACUGAAGAGACGCAUCAACAAUGCUUCAUUUUUGCCAACUCCCACGAGUUGAUCACAAUAAGCUUUCAGAUGUGCUAGAGGAUUUCCUAUUCCAUAAAAAGUGACAAACUUUGGCACUUUGAACCCUUCUGGAAGGUCGAGAUUCGGAUGGAUGCAUAAGUCCUUAUAGCUCAAUCCAUCAACUUCGGAAAUAUAGUGCAACUCCUUCAUGGCUUUCCUGAUCUCUUCUUUCAUAUUCAGCUUGACUACCUCUUCUUUUGACCUCCACUCUCUCUCCUGUUCCUUAUAGUGAUCAAGCUCGGAACAGUCGGCAUAAGGUUCAUUUGAAGUUGGGAUUUGGAAAGUAGUCUUUUGAGGUAUGGUUGGAACAAUGGAGAGAUUCUGGGUAUUUUGAUAAUUUUGGGAAAAUUUUGAGGAUCAACAUUUUGGUUUUAAAGAUGGGGGAAGGUUUGAGCAUUGUUCGUAUUUUGGUUUUGAGUGAGCUGAAGGAUUUAAUUGGUAUUAUGAGGAUGAUGUGGUGCUUGACACGAUGUGGUGGCGUGAUGGGGAUUGGGGAUAGUUGAGUCAAUGGUUGGAGGAUUUUGAGCAGGAUUAGAGAGAAGGUCCUGAACCAGUUCCGCGUUCGAGGGAGGAAAGUAGAGUGGAGGUCUUCCGUCUCUUGGAGGGUUGAAGGAUAAAAUUGGAUUAGGCAAAUCUCGCAUCCUUUGCAUUUCGACCCUCAUUUCGUCAAUCUGUUGCAUCAAUUGCAUAAUCGAUUCAUUUUUAUCAGCAGCGGCGGGUUGAGCCACGACAACAUCACUCACGUCAAUCUCCUCAUUGUUAUCCCCCAUUGCUGUCUUUUCUUUUUGCAAAUUUUGAUCGGGGAAGGAAUUUUUUGGGGCCUUAAACCUUGUGAAAUACGGAUGAUCAACCAACACAGAUCAGUUUUAAAUACCUGACAAAUGAAAAAACUCAAAAGAAUAAUAUGUUAGUGUCUGGAGGUGGUAAAUAAUACAAGAAUAUCACAUAUAGGUGAAAACACAUAAGAGUUGUUUUAUCCGGAAAUAAACUAGCUCACCAACAUAGAGAAAUGAUUAAAUAGACAGGAAUUUGUCUACUUGACUUCGAGAUUAGCGAAUAAAAAUGUCGACCCGAAUCGAAACAAAGUUGACGGUAUCUUCCAUUACCGUACUUUGAUUUUGAUUGAGAUGUAACUCCAAUUUCUUUGUAAGAGUCGAGAAAGAUAAAAAUUUUCAAAAUUCUUUUGAUUUGAAAUGAUGAAUCUUUUCUGAUACGAGAGUAGUACUAAAGAAAGCUUCUUUUUGUUGUUUUUUUUUUUUUAGGAAACUAAAGACUCGAAGAGUAUUUGGACGCACUUUUGAUAGUGACUUGAUAUUUGUGCUUACAGGUUCUAAAAGUAUUUGAAAAGGAGUGAGCUAGAAUAUCUCCAGAUAAAACAACAUAUUCACAUAAGCAGUUGUAACACGUAAACAAAUAUUACGCAUACUAAACAGAUAUGUGACCCUUUUCUGUCAAGGGUAGGCCUAGCACAUUCGAAUGAUGCGUCGUGAGGUUGAAGACCUUAGACGCGAUUUGGCGGAUUUUCUACUAAAAUGGACUUAAUAUGCCUUGGGUACUAAGUCGUCCUAGGCUGAUGCCUAAAUCGAUUUUGGUUUCGCUCUAUCUUAGGCUUUCUAGAGUUGUUUUCAAAUACGGUUACCCGAGUCGGACAAACAUCGGGGUGGAGCUAUCGAAUAACGUCGGAUGACCGCAUUCCGACUAUUUAUUCGAUACUCCCAAAUGAGUUCUUGGGUAUUUCUGAGAGAAGUUGCGGUAAGCCGCGUAACUUCCGUUUCCUGACGCAACUAGUUGCCGUUUGGCGGAAGUUAUGCCAUGAGAAAAUGCAAUUUCUAAAACUAUACAAUUUUAAACAAUUAAACAAGUUAGUCAAAUAGAGUUAGUCUUAGGGUGAGAAUCCUCCGUUCCCCAGCGGAGUCGCCAUUUCUGUUUUAUCAAAAAAUUGAUUUUCGAAAAGAGUUCGUUUUAUUUUAAAGUAUUUUCGACUUUUAGGAGUCGCCACUUAAUUUUUUAAGAAAAAUCAAGAAAACUUAUUUCCAAAACAACUUAAACAGAAAAAUUUGUUUUGAAAAUAUUUUAGGAGGGUUCGAGAUUCCUAUUAGCGUCUUAGGAAGGUGUUUAAAGCACCUAAGACGCUCCGCUAACUACGAUUUUCCGACGAUUAACUUAUUUGACUAUUUUGUUUUAAAGACUUGCAAAUUUUGAACUUCUUAAGAUAUCUAGGCAAACUUUAUAAGUUUCGAAAUAUUUACUUUGCAAAAUCAUUUUUUAAGGCUAAGGCACUUUAUAUUCAAACAAACUUGUAGAAUAUUAGCUUCAACAUUUCGCUAAAGUUGAACUUUUUUAAACUUUUACUCUAAGCAAUUUUUCCAAACUUAAACAUCUAUCUUUCUUAACACUUAAAAUUUAAUUUUAAUCUUGAUAAAAGUAGAGAGGCAUUUCGACGGGGAUUUGGAGUUUUCUAAUCCUAACUCUAACGAUACUUUAAACAAACGCACAUAAGCAAGUAAUAAGGAGAGAGAGAGAGAGAGAGAGAUUUUGGGUCCAACUUCGGUUCUGUUCGCCUUGACCGAAUGUUGGACCCACCUGCUUUUUGGGCUUCGACCCAUUUCUCUUUCGUACCUGUCCUAGUCUAAACAUGCAAAAUAAAUUUCAAGGAAAUAAGACAACAAGGGCUUAUGCCCAUUACAAAAUGAAAUACAAAAAUAUAAAAAUAAAGUAAAACGUCUUCUAAUCCUCUUCUUCGAAUUUCUUCAAUCUUCAAGGGAUUUCAAUUUCGAGGAGCUGUCCACCGGAUUUUAUGACUUUGACUCGGCAAGAAGAAAUCGAGCCUUUUAUGGCCUUUCUUAAAGAUGCCAAAGGGGAGAGUCCAUUGGACUCGUUCGGAGAGAGAGUUAUGCAAAGAAGAAGAAAGAAAUAGAAAUUAGUGAUUUAACAAGAAAGGUCCAACAUUAGUUUAAUACAUAAAUAAACUCAAACAAUACACAAAUAAUGCAAGUCGAGUAUGUUAAACAAUGGAGGAAACCAACAGAAACGGAGAAAGAUUAAUUUCCAAAUCUAAUCAAAAGCUUCAUAUUCAAACUAAUAAAUAACACCACCAUAAGUUCAACCACGUACUUAAAACAAGAAGAAGAUCAUAAUAGAAACAUAUUCAAGAGAAAAGGGCUCCAAAGCUCACAUUGAUUUAACCAACACACUACGUAUAACAACAACUAAACAGAGGCUUCCUAAUGCAUCGACUAUCAGGUAAAUUCCUACUUGAACCCAACAGUUGACUAAGCCAAACGGAGUUCAAACAGAUUCACCAAACUGUAGGAAUAAACGAGUUUAAACUCAACGAGGCUCAUGUCGAGAUGAAGAAUAACCUUAAACGCAACGUGACCAACAAAAUCGAAUUAAAAAGAAAAAGAAAAAUAAGCAUGGUCUCGACCUCUUUAGCAAAUGCCAUCUAGACCGAAAUAAAGCACAGAGAUACAUUUUGAAAAGUCUAAAACAUGGAACCAAUGAAGACCCACAGCAUUCGCAAGUAACAACAACGACUUAUCAUAUCUCAUCUAAUAUUGCGACAAAACGCGACUUAACAGAUGAUAACUUAAAUAAACUUGACUUGAGGGGAAACGAAGGGAUAGCAAUAAACGAGCAGCCGAAAAAGAAGACGAAACACGAAAACGCAAUGGAGAAACAACAACAACGAGAUUUUCCAUUCUUUCUCCUCCUCUUUUUUUUUCUUUAUAGCAGCAGAACAAGCCAACGAAUAGAGAAGACCAACAACGAAUAUCAUUUAUCACGUGACAUCGAAACCAGACGCGACUUAGACAACAACAAUUAGCUACUUAACGUGAGAAAGAAACAAAAAAAACUAAGAUGAAAAUAGAAGAGCAGCAAUCAAAGCAUGGCAACACAUAUAAACGAGCCAGACUAUUAUUACAUGAAAAACAACAGACGCAGCCAACAAGAAGAUUUUAAAAUAAUAAAGAAACGGGGGAUGUACCUUCCUCGGAGCAGCAGAACGGGGACGAUACGAGCAGGGGAUGGGGACGACUACCACCGUGCGAGCACGAACACCAGUCCAACGCAAGCUAGCUUAGAAAACUUCCUCCUCUCCUUUCUAAGAACACGAGACAAGUCUUCCUCUGUAGACACCUCUGUGAUAAGAAAAUCUAAACAAGGUUUCUAAUCCCCCCUGUUCAUCCAAAAGGUCUAACCCCUCAGAAUUUCAAACCUCUGAAAUUUGAACUCUAAAUUGUCCAACUACGAUAAAACCGAAAAGCAACAGAAUACUCUCGAAUUUUAUCUCAACCUUUUUGUGAUGGAACCCCAAAAAAAUUCCCAGAAAAAUCGUCCCCCCCCAAGUUUCUAACACUUUGUCUUAAAAAUCUAUUUCCGAAAAUCCAACAAAAAUCGCUAACCCCUUUUUGAAGAGAGGUGGGGGUUUAUAUAGGUGAAGCUAGGGUUUCGAGGGAGCGGGUAAGACGAUUUCUGCCCAUUUUGAAUUUGAAAUUCAAAAUUCCGCAUCUGAAGGAAUAUGCCACUUUGAUGCCAAGAUUCCCAAUGGAAUCGAGUUGAGGUGGAGGGACGAGAUUAUUCCAUCGUCCCUUUGCCCUUGCGUGGCUCGAAUCCGCAUCGCAAGGACGGAGUCGUGUUGUUUUGCACUGCAAGUCGUACGAAAAAGGGAGAUGUCGCAGAGGCUGCAGAGGUCCGUUGGGUUAUUUCGUUCCUCCACGCGCUAGAGAGAGAGGGAGAGAGGUGGGGGGAGAGUAUCUCGCGUGAGAGACGCGGGAGAGAGGGCGUGGGGGCAACGCGGUUUCUGUUGGGGUCGCGUGGGGGAGGGUUUGGCGUUUCUGGGUUCUGUUUGC